GGCCCAUCAGCUCAGUUAGUCAGAGCGUCGUGCUAAUUCCACGAAGGUCCCGGGUUCGAUCCCCUCAUGGGCCA
This is a non-coding RNA of Eumeta japonica, 74 nucleotides long. The record is from the annotation of a GenBank genome assembly. NCBI's taxonomy places the organism in Eukaryota, Metazoa, Arthropoda, Insecta, Lepidoptera, Psychidae.